Molecule: ribosomal RNA, 214 nt
Filed under: Symbiodinium sp. Mp
Lineage: Eukaryota; Dinophyceae; Suessiales; Symbiodiniaceae
Description: partial Bacterial small subunit ribosomal RNA
Rfam family: Bacterial small subunit ribosomal RNA
Source: RNAcentral
UAAGACAGAUGUGAAAUCCCCGGGCUCAACCUGGGAACUGCAUUUGUGACUGUAUAGCUAGAGUACGGCAGAGGGGGAUGGAAUUCCGCGUGUAGCAGUGAAAUGCGUAGAUAUGUGGAGGAACACCAAUGGCGAAGGCAGCCCCCUGGGAUAACACUGACGCUCAUGCACGAAAGCGUGGGGAGCAAACAGGAUUAGAUACCCUGGUAGUCCA